UUAAAUUUCCUAAAUAAUAGAAACUUAAGAUUCCUAAUCAUAAUAUAAAAUUUGAAUGAAAGAUCUUAAUUUUACAAAAUAAAAAUUUUAUUGACUACAUCAUUCUCCCCUAAUUGGAGAAAGCUUGAUCUCGAGUUUUGUAAUGCUAAUGAAUCAAGAACUAAAUUCGAAGAACAAGCAACUCUAUCUUAUUGGCUGGUAGCAAUAAGAUUGAAACGAAAAACUCUAUUCUUUUCUUCCUAUCCUUGGAACAUCUUGUACUUGUAGUCCUCAAUUUCAUCUUGUAGUCAUUGAAUUUCAAUCCACAUAAAAUCAAAAAAUCAAAAUUUGGAUCAAUGAUUGACUGAUUGUGCUUCAAAUAUUUGUUUCUACCCACAAUGAAUGUCAAAAGUGGAAUCAAGACAUUGAAAUUAGCAGGAAAGGAUUUGGCCAAAAUUGUUGAUGUGGCAAGGUUGCUGACGUAGCAACAUCAGGUAAUGUGUCAAUAGUAUACUGUAGCAGGUGGCAUGGCAGCUAAAAUAGUAGAGAGCAAGGUUGCAGGAUCAAUUGAGGACAGGCACACAGUAGAAGGCGAGGGAUAAGUUCAGUUUAUGGACAACAGACUCGACUCGGCACAUGUGAGCAAGUGAAGGCUUGAACGAGCAAUCAAACAACAGCAAGACUCCAAUCAGCAGGCGACAAGCUUUUGAAGAGGUGUAAAAGUCGAUUGGUUGGGCUAGUAUAGAUUCUAAUCAAAACCUGACCCAAAUGGAAACUAGGUCUGUAGAGGCAUUUGGUGGUCAGAGUAACACCAAAAGAGUCACCCAACACGGGCUAUAGUUUAGUGGUGGUAAUGCAAUAUUUUUCGAUGUUCAGACGAUGGUUAAUGGUUGCUGGCAGUAACAUGGGCUUAGGCAGCAAGAGAGACAAGUAGCGAGGCAAAAAAAUUCAAGAAGAAAAGCCAAAAAAAACUUAGAUCGUAUUCUCUAGCUAUUUUUAUAGGUAUCGGACUAAAAAGUGCUCUAAUACCAAAUUGAUGUAGA
This 1022-nucleotide unclassified non-coding RNA is filed under the name Hevea brasiliensis (rubber tree). Lineage: Eukaryota; Viridiplantae; Streptophyta; Magnoliopsida; Malpighiales; Euphorbiaceae. The record is from RNAcentral.